Molecule: ribosomal RNA, 79 nt
Filed under: Kingella kingae
Lineage: Bacteria; Pseudomonadati; Pseudomonadota; Betaproteobacteria; Neisseriales; Neisseriaceae
Description: partial 23S ribosomal RNA
Rfam family: Bacterial large subunit ribosomal RNA
Source: RNAcentral
AGGACGUUGAUAGGUUGGGUGUGGAAGGGUGGUAACACUUGAAGCUAACCAAUACUAAUUGCUCGUGAGGCUUGACUCU